GACGAACGCUGGCGGCGUGCUUAACACAUGCAAGUCGAACGGAAAGGCCCUGCUUUUGUGGGGUGCUCGAGUGGCGAACGGGUGAGUAACACGUGAGUAACCUGCCCUUGACUUUGGGAUAACUUCAGGAAACUGGGGCUAAUACCGGAUAGGAGCUCCUGCUGCAUGGUGGGGGUUGGAAAGUUUCGGCGGUUGGGGAUGGACUCGCGGCUGAUCAGCUUGUUGGUUGGGUAGUGGCUUACCAAGGCUUUGACGGGUAGCCGGCCUGAGAGGGUGACUGGCCACAUUGGGACUGAGAUACGGCCCAGACUCCUACGGGAGGCAGAAGUGGGGAAUAUUGCACAAUGGGCGGAAGCCUGAUGCAGCAACGCCGCGUGCGGGAUGACGGCCUUCGGGUUGUAAACCGCUUUCGCCUGUGACGAAGCGUGAGUGACGGUAAUGGGUAAAGAAGCACCGGCUAACUACGUG
This 468-nucleotide ribosomal RNA is filed under the name uncultured bacterium. Its description in RNAcentral is "partial 16S ribosomal RNA". It matches the Rfam family "Bacterial small subunit ribosomal RNA", at positions 28 to 507 of the family's 1533-position model. The record is from RNAcentral.